Long non-coding RNA from Oncorhynchus keta (chum salmon), 562 nucleotides. RefSeq lists it as uncharacterized. Lineage: Eukaryota; Metazoa; Chordata; Actinopteri; Salmoniformes; Salmonidae. The transcript is spliced from 3 exons. The record is from RefSeq and is a predicted model, not a curated record.
UGAAAGUUUUCCGUGACAACCGGUUCCUUCCUUCCGAUGUGUAGAAUUUAAAAACAGGAGCCUAUCUAUCUAUCUAUAUAUAUCUAUGUAGUAGUGAUAAGGGAGAGCAGAUGGUCCCAGUCCUGUCUGUGUGAGGAGUUGGGUAGGAUACAGUUUAUCUAUGUAGUAGUGAUAAGGGAGAGCAGAUGGUCCCAGUCCUGUCUGUGUGAGGAGUUAGGUAGGAUACAGUUUAUCUAUGUAGUAGUGAUAAGGGAGAGCAGAUGGUCCCAGUCCUGUCUGUGUGAGGAGUUGGGUAGGAUACAGUUUAUCUAUGUAGUAGUGAUAAGGGAGAGCAGAUGGUCCCAGUCCUGUCUGUGUGAGGAGUUAGGUAGGAUACAGUUUAUCUAUGUAGUAGUGAUAAGGGAGAGCAGAUGGUCCCAGUCCUGUCUGUGUGAGGAGUUAGGUAGGAUACAGUUUAUCUAUGUAGUAGUGAUAAGGGAGAGCAGAUGGUCCCAGUCCUGUCUGUGUGAGGAGUUAGGUAGGAUACAGUCUCCCCUAAAUGCUCAUCUUGGGUCAGCCCCCC